Non-coding RNA from Phrynosoma platyrhinos (Desert horned lizard), 73 nucleotides. The record is from the annotation of a GenBank genome assembly. NCBI's taxonomy places the organism in Eukaryota, Metazoa, Chordata, Lepidosauria, Squamata, Phrynosomatidae.
GCCAGUGUGGUGUAGUGGUUUUGAAGUCUGGACUAUAACUCUGGAGACCAGGAUUCGAAUCCCCACUUGGGCA